AAGUCGUAACAAGGUUUCCGUAGGUGAACCUGCGGAAGGAUCAUUACAGAGGUUUAUCCUUAUUUUGUGAAUUUUAUAUCUGGUGUGUAUGUUUGUGAGCGAGAACAAGUGCGGACACGAGUUGAGAUCAUUUAUGAAAGCAAUGAGUCGAACCACCCGUUCAACACCAAACAUAUGCACCAAACUUUACACCAAUUUCUGUCUGAAGAAAAGAAAUGAAAAA
This 223-nucleotide unclassified non-coding RNA is filed under the name plant metagenome. RNAcentral describes it as "partial contains small subunit ribosomal RNA and internal transcribed spacer 1". The stretch from base 1 to 46 matches the Rfam family "Eukaryotic small subunit ribosomal RNA", at positions 1786 to 1831 of the family's 1831-position model. The record is from RNAcentral.